Molecule: RNA transcript, 632 nt
Organism: Drosophila elegans
Lineage: Eukaryota; Metazoa; Arthropoda; Insecta; Diptera; Drosophilidae
Exons: 3
Source: RefSeq, a predicted model, not a curated record
UGAAUUUGAAUUGCCAAGCGAGUUUUGUCAAAAUUUCCAAAGAAUAAAACAACACCAUUAUUUGGCCAAAUCCAAAUUGUAUGUUAGCUUUUGUGGCCCAAUGGCAUUCUUGCUCCUCCGAGUGGCCCUGGUGGCCGGAGCGGUAUAUGGCACCCAAGAGCUGGGAAUAUGGGAGAAUUCGCGGCACACGCAGGAGCUGUUCGAAGGCGCCAAACGGGAGGUGAGUCCCAUCACCGCUUACCUGAUGAACCAAUUCUGCUGCUGGCGCUGCGAGAAGUGCGACCCGGAUGUGGAGGUCAAGCCCUGGCAGGAGUCCAUGGUGGAUGCCUGGAACGAGUCGGUGAAGAAGACCUUUAACGCCCUGGGCGUUCAAGGGCCCAAAUACUUCAAUCGCUUUUCGCAGGAUAUGCAGCAGGGAUUCGACGACCUGGUGAACAACAGUGGAGACUGAUACAAAGGUAUAAAACAAAUUCUUAUCGGGGAAAGCACAAUUUAUUUGGAACUGAAAAAAUGAUACAAAGGUUUUAAACAAAUUAUUAUCGGAGGAACUGAAAAAUGUUCAUAAUAAGGAAAAGAAUAACAAAGACGAGAAUUUCGGAUGGUCAAACUAUCUCAAAGAAUUAAGCCCCGAG